Long non-coding RNA from Passer montanus (Eurasian tree sparrow), 313 nucleotides. RefSeq lists it as uncharacterized. The transcript is spliced from 3 exons. The record is from RefSeq and is a predicted model, not a curated record. Lineage: Eukaryota; Metazoa; Chordata; Aves; Passeriformes; Passeridae.
GAGCCCCGAGGGGCGCUGCUCGGGGCUCCCGGGGCGGCCCCGAUCGGCGCUGCAGGACCUGCUGGCCGGGAGAGGAGAGGGAAAAUGGGAGAGAUCCGGGAGGAAUUCCGUGCAGAGAGCGAGGCCCCGCGCGCUGCCAGGAGCUCGUCUGCCGCGGGAGGGUUCUGGCGCCGGUGACAGCGAUGGGGUAUGAUGUGGCACGCUUCCAGGGGGACGUGGACGAGGACCUGAUCUGCCCCAUCUGCAGCGGGGUCCUGGAGGAGCCGGUGCAGGUAGGGCCCACCUGGGCACCGGGGGUGCAGGUGGGACCCAG